AUCUGAUAUGUGGGCUGGAUCUGACAGCAUGACUUACUAGUGCAGAGGUGGUGCUAGAGAGGUGGUAAUCAAAAAAGAAACAGGUGAGAUUUACUUGCCAUUUUAUGGCUUUAACCUGAGUCUCAAUGCCAAAGAUCCAUCAGCCCUAACAAGGAACCAUGUUGUCACUUACAGGAAUCAAGCUGCAUUUCUGUACAGAGAUGAGAAUGCAGGUGGGGUGGCAGAUGUGCGCCACUGCAACAGGUACCUUCUCAUUUAAUGGCAGACACCUGAUAUAUGGCAUGCGAACUUGCUGCCACCGUCCAUCAACUGGAGCUUGAGCUACUGGAGCUCCAACUGGAGCUGGAGCUACUGGAGCUACUCCAACUGGAGCUGGAGCUACUGGAGCUACUGAGGUCUCUGUGCCUCUGUCCUUGACCCCACGCCAGAGUUCCCAUCUUGAAUUGCAAGACCAUGUAUGUGCCAAUGUAGAGCAGGGCUGAGUGUUAGACUGAGGAAACCAGGGUUCAAAUCCCCCCACUCAGCCACAGAGGUUGUUCUGUGACCUUGGGCCAGCCACUCUCUCUCUCUCAGGCUAGCCUACCUCAAAGUGUUGUUGAGAAACUGAAGGCAGGGGGAGAGGGCUUGCUAGAAAGGGAGAGAUGAUGAAAAAAGUUAAAUAUCUGGGUGUUAAUUUGUCGGUGAAAAAUUUGAACUUAUAUAAAGAUAAUUAUGAGAAAUUAUGGAAUGAAAUUAAGAGAGAUCUGGAGAUUUGGUCGAAUUUAAAAUUGUCAUUAAUGGGCCGGAUUUCUGUGGUUAAGAUGAACGUACUGCCAAAGAUGUUGUUUCUGCUCCAAGCCCUCCCAAUUACUGACAAUGUGAAAUGUUUUAAAGAAUGGCAGAAAGUUUUAUCUAGAUUUAUCUGGCAGGGGGGGAAACCCAGAAUUAAAUAUAAAUUAUUAACAGAUUCUAAAGACAGAGGGGGUUUCUCCCUGCCAGAUUUGAAGAUUUAUUUUGAAGCCGCAGCCUUUUUUUGGGUUAAGGAAUGGAUACAAUUAGAUAAUUCAGAUGUUUUAGACUUGGAGGGAUUUGACAAUGUGUUUGGAUGGUAUGCUUAUCUAUGGUAUGAGAAGAUAAAGGCCCAUAAUGGUUUUAAAAAUCAUGUAAUUAGAAAAUCCUUAUAUACCAUUUGGAUAAAAUAUAAAGAUCUCUUAGAAAGGAAAAUACCCAGAUGGCUGUCACCAAUGGAGGCAAAGGCCCAGAAAAAGUCAAAAAUGGAAACUAAUUGGCUGAGAUAUUCAGAUUUAUUAUUGGAAGAUAAAGAAGGAUUUAAAUGAAAACCAUUUGAUCAAAUCAAAGAUAAAACAAAUUGGUUGCAUUAUCAUCAGAUCAAUGAAUUGUAUAAAUUAGAUAAGAAAAAUGGUUUUGCAUCAGAAAAAAACAAAUUGGAAACGGAGUUGUUAGAUUCUAAAGUUAAAAAUUUGUCUAAAAUGUAUAAUCUAUUGUUGGAGUGGCAUACAAAGGAUGAACAAGUUAAAUCUGUGAUGAUAGAUUGGGCAAGAGACAUGGGACAUAACAUAAUGUUUGAAGACUGGGAAAGGUUCUGAAGGAAAGGGGUUAAGUUCACUGCAUGUACAGUGUUAAAGGAAAAUAUUAUGAAAAUGAUGUAUAGAUGGUACUUAACCCCUGUAAAACUAGCCAAUAUUUAUCACAAUAGUGAUAAUCUAUGUUGGAAAUGUAAAGAAAAAGAAGGUACCUUUUAUCAUAUGUGGUGGAACUGCCCCAAGGUGAAAGAAAGAAUUGAAAAAAAUGUUGAAAUAUACAUUUAUUAAGAAACCAGAGGCCUUUCUUCUUGGAAUAAUAGGUUUGGAAUUGCCCAAGAAAGAUGUUAGAUUGUUUUUGUAUGCCACAACGGCUGCUAGGAUUUUGUUGGCCAAAAACUGGAAAACACAAGAAGUGCCAACAGUGGAGGAAUGGCAGAUGAAGAUGAUGGACUUUUGGGAGCUAGCCGACCUGACCGGAAGAGUCUGCGACCAGAAGGAGGAGGAGUACCAGGAGGAAUGGAUGAAAUUUAAAGACUAUUUAGUUAAAUAUCUUAAGGUAACUUAAAUAGAAAUACUUGAAAAUACCAGAUUGGCUUAGGAUUUAAAUAUGUGAUGUUAUAGAAUAAUAUGUCUAAAGUUAAUAUGAAAAAAAAGAAAGAUGUUAAUUGACUAAGUAAAUUUUAUGAGAAAUUAGUUUUGGAAAACUGUUACAAUGAUAUACAUUGAAACUCAGCCAGGGGGAUUCGAGGAAGUCACCUAACAAUGUUAAUAAUAGUGGAACAAUUAUAGUUAGGAUUUAUGUUUGUUUGUUUGUUUGUUUAUAAAUUUGGAAAAUCAAUUGGAAAAAAAUUGAAAGAAAAGAAAAGAAAGGGAGAGAUGAAACAAAUAAAUAACGCACCAACAUAUUAUGAGUCAAUUUAGAACUAGAGGUAGGCAGGAAAAGGGGUUCCUCUCCCCAGUCAUCCAUGAAGGAAACUCAUAAUUAGUGCUCCAAACCAAAUAGCUGCUUUUGGACAUCACAAAAGGUAAGAGGGCUGGCCCACCUCUGACUCUUCUGUAAUUCAAGCAUCACUUCAGAGGCCUAUCAGUGACAUCACAUCAUCCAAACAUGCCUACUUCAUACCUUGUGCCCUGGGUUGUGUCUCGUAUAUAUAUAUCCUGACUGCCUGUGAGUGGGGUCUGAUUGUACCAACCUAAGCAAUACAGAGGGGAUGUGGGUGGCGCUGUGGGUUAAACCACAGAGCCUAGGACUUGCUGAUCAGAAGGUCGGCGGUUCGAAUCCCCUCGAUGGGGUGAGCUCCCGUUGUUUGGUCCCAGCUCCUGCCAACCUAGCAGUUCAAAAGUACGUCAAAGUGCAAGUAGAUAAAUAGGUACCACUCCGGCAGGAAGGUAAACGCCGUUUCCCUGCGCUGCUCUGGUUCGCCAGAAGCGGUUUAGUCAUGCUGGCCACAUGACCCGGUGUACGCCAGCUCCCUCGGCCAAUAAAGAGAGAUGAGCGCCACAACCCCAGAGUCGUUCGCGACUGGACUUAAUGGUCAGGGGUCCCUUUAUCUUUAUCUAAGCAAUACAGAGAUGGAUACCAGUGAUUUAGUGAACAUGGGUCAAUUGAAUCACAAUACAACAAUCACUUUGGGGGAGACACCAAAGGCAACUUGACAUCCCACUUUGCAUUAUACAACACUAAAUUAAACUUUGAUUAGCAUUCCGUUCUGCUGGAAUUGGCACCGGCGAUUGCUUAGAACUAAUCAACUAAGUGCUGCUCAUACUGAAACAGCUGAUAAGGGCUUGUCAAUUAAGAUCCUGGGCCGGCCUUAUCAUUAGGCAGAGUGAAGUGGCCACCUCUGGCAGCUAAAUUUGGGGUGUUGUGAAAGGGCAGCAAAUGCUUAGUCGUUUAAUUAAUUUGUUUGUUUGUCUUUUUACUGCCAGGGAAGAGGGGAGGAUUUUCUGCCUCAUAUGCCAGAGUGAUUUUGUUGGUAUUGGGUCUUAUGCACCUUGUCUGAGGGACUGAGGUGGGGGGUGGGGUUGCGCCAUCACAGCAAACAGCAAAUUGCUUUCCAGGUAUAGCAGGUUUGUACCGCACACAUGCAAAUCAAGCAGCAGACCAAAACUCCUAGCUGUUUUCUCACAGGUCAAUGAACAGCCUUUGGAUGGUGAGGAUUUGAUGGGCUUAAUUAUUGUGCAGUGACCUACUGUUCAGCAUUCAUGACCCAAGCCCCACAGCCACUUCCUGAUAUGGAGCCAUGUUUGUUUGUUUUUAAUACCUUGUUCCUCAGACGACUUUCACAUCAUUCAGGGGUCCUCUCCCCCCCCCCCCCCGCUUCAUUAGAUGAGAAUAAAAAACAGUCCAGCAGAGCCGAAACUCAAAAUAAAAGCCAAACUCAAUGGGCUGAAACGCAGGCUGCACACAUAUUUAUGACUAAAAAUCUACACGGAUGCCUUGCCAAGUCCUCAUAAAAUCCCAAUACUUGGCACGGGAUGCUCGAUUUUACAGUUUUAGCUUCCUUUGGCAUAAUCUGCCAUGUUUUAAUUAAACAGAGAACGCAGAGUGCAUCCCCAGUAGCCCAUGCCUCUAGCCUCAUCUCUUUCAAUGUGCCAUCAUGGAAAUGUAAUUGCAGGAGAAAACGCUUCUCCUGCAUACCUUAGAAGGGUGAGCUAUGUCCAACUAACAGGAUAAGGAAAGAAAUGUUAGAAUAUCAGGAGAUGUGUUAUUUGUAAGGCAGAAGUUCCCACCUCACAGCAUAAGACAACCCCAGGUGUAUCAGACCAAAGGUCUAUCUAUCUGGUUCACCAUUUUCUUACCAUAAAAAGCCCAACAGAUGCUUCUAGCAAAUGUGUGAGCAAAGAACGAAGGUUGCCCUGGCCUUUGUCCAUAGCAUCCUUAAAGGGAUGCUGCCUCUAGACCAAGCAAGAAGAUUCCAUCCAGCUGUCUUGGCUAAUUGCCAUUGAUAGGUCUAUCCUCCAUGAAUCCCUCUAAUCCCUUUUAAAGCCGUCUAAGCCAGCCUCCAUCAUUGCAUUUUGUGCCAGCGAAUUGCAUGUUAUCAAUUAUGUGCUGGUGUGAUUUCCCACCCCCACCCCAUCACGAACCUACCAUCCACCCAUGCCACAUAUAGAGAUGGUGCAAUUCUUAGCUAUCUAAGUACCUUCACACCAUAGGUGCCAAGUCCCUGGGGUCCUGGGUGCCUGAAGACCCACAAAAUUCCACAUUAAGGGGCCGGGCACCUACAAAUUUCAGUGCCAGGGCCAUGCACAUUGCAUGGCACCCAGGGCCCUAGGCACCCACAUUCACAGGGCCAAGUUGGCAUUCCUGCUUCACAUAAUUUAUGGGUACUGUUUGUAUCACACGAUUGGGAGUUUGUCUCACGCUCCUAGUAAUUUUCUGCAGUCUUCCUUAUAUACCUAGAGGGUUGUAUCAAGUGACCUGUUAGAACAAGGAUUUAUGCUUGCACAACACUCAUUCUCCUCCUCCUCCCAUAUGGGCCCCGCACCCUCCCCAAAUUGCAAGAAGCUCCAGAAAAAGAGUUAAAAGGAUUUGGAUUUUCUUAAUCUAAAUUAUCUGAUAAUGUGUUUAUCUGGUAUCUAUGUGUAUGGGUUAUUUAUUUGGAUUUUCUUUUUUGUGUAGCACCUUGAGAUGUGUGGAUAGUAGGUGGUCUACAAAUGAACACCAUCACCAUCAGAAGCUGUCAGGGCUGCCUCAAGUCUCAGCUCACAAAAGACCAACGCCAAUCUCUUCUUAUAUACAAAAGUGUUUAUUGCAAUUCAUUGUUCGCUCCACAUCCGAGGCGCGCAGCCCCACGUCUGUUACACUUAGACCGUUGAAGUACCCUCUGAGUCAGUCCCUCCCCUGCACCAGUUUAAGAAGCUUGCGCUGCUCCACCUCUUCCUCUCUUUCCUUUUCCGCAGGGUCUUCCUGCCCCCUGGGGUUUCGCCCCUCCUGGAUUCCCCUGACGCGGAAUCCCCAGACUGCUCUUCCCCCCUCCUGCGGGCUUUGGGACCUGGCUCCUCCUCCGGGCUCCCUGUACUUCCGCGCGCCUCUACAUUUGAACUUGGCGCGCGCCCAACCUCUAACCUUCCUUUUGACAGUUACACUACUCCCUUCACUACUCCCUCCCUUCCGGGAGGGUGGCUUGCUCCGACCUCCCUCCCUUCUCUGCUGCCGGAGCUGCUUCCCCUGAUACAUUGGAACCUCCACCCCUUUCGCUGCACUCUGGCGGGGAGGCUGGUCCUGACGCCCAGCUGCCACUUUGGGAUCCCCUGCUGGCCCCCUGUUCCUGACACGUCCCCCCGGGGCUCCCCUGGCCCUGACCACCGACGCCCCCUUCUGGGAAUCCUCUGAUUCGCUGGAAAGACUCAUGGAAUCUCUUGAGUCAUUGUCAUCCUCUUCCUCGCUGUCCUGGGAUUCAUCCCCAUCGCUCUCCAUCUCCUGCCUACCCUGUGCCUCUGUCCCUGAACCCCUGACAGAAGCAACCAUAAAUUGUGGUUGCCAAAGCAUAGGUAAGAGAGUUAUAUGCAGAUGGAGGGAGGACAUGGCAUGAUGAGGGAGAGCGGUCACUUUGGUACCUGCUCAAAUCCCUCAGCAGGUAGAUCUAACUUUCCAUUUCUUUUCCUAUGGACCCAUGGAAGAAUCCUGCUCUUUAGCUGCUUUGUUGAAGCUGUAGGAGAAUAUGUGGGCCCAUUGCUAAGCAACAGGCUUUUGAGUUUCACAUUGAACCAAAUCAUUUGAAUACGUAUAGUAAACUCAGCUGAGGAGAUUUGAGUAUUUAUGUCACGAUUGCCUGAAAGCAGACCCACAAGACUACAAAGCCCACAAUGCAAUGUGAUUGCAAGCAAAAUGUCCAUUUGAAGAAGAAUAAGACAAUGAAGAAGAAGAAGAAGCAUCUACUGUAUUCUAUGAAGCAAGUAGUUGAACAUAUUAAAGGAUGGCCGCGGAACUAACUCAAGGAUCAAUAGUCAGAUAUAUUUUCCACUGAGGUCUAUUCUUCAGGACCAGAAAAAUGGAACUGGAAUGUGCUCCCAGGCUUCACACAUGCUUAAUGUAUGCCAUUAUACAUGAAUAAUUUUGCUAUAGUUUCUGUUCUUAUUCUAAAGCACAUAUAAAAAUCUCCUGUCUGAACUUCUAAUGGUUUUCUAAAAUUCAAUUUUGUAAAAAUUAUUUUAUAGAAGGGAG
RNAcentral lists this long non-coding RNA (6687 nucleotides) under Podarcis lilfordi (Lilford's wall lizard). The record is from RNAcentral. Lineage: Eukaryota; Metazoa; Chordata; Lepidosauria; Squamata; Lacertidae.